This 1364-nucleotide ribosomal RNA is filed under the name Enterococcus sp. S22. RNAcentral's name for it is "16S ribosomal RNA". It matches the Rfam family "Bacterial small subunit ribosomal RNA", at positions 93 to 1443 of the family's 1533-position model. Lineage: Bacteria; Bacillati; Bacillota; Bacilli; Lactobacillales; Enterococcaceae. The record is from RNAcentral.
GAGUGGCGAACGGGUGAGUAACACGCUGGGUAACCUGCCCAUCAGAAGGGGAUAACACUUGGAAACAGGUGCUAAUACCGUAUAACAAUCGAAACCGCAUGGUUUUGAUUUGAAAGGCGCUUUCGGGUGUCGCUGAUGGAUGGACCCGCGGUGCAUUAGCUAGUUGGUGAGGUAACGGCUCACCAAGGCCACGAUGCAUAGCCGACCUGAGAGGGUGAUCGGCCACAUUGGGACUGAGACACGGCCCAAACUCCUACGGGAGGCAGCAGUAGGGAAUCUUCGGCAAUGGACGAAAGUCUGACCGAGCAACGCCGCGUGAGUGAAGAAGGUUUUCGGAUCGUAAAACUCUGUUGUUAGAGAAGAACAAGGAUGAGAGUAACUGUUCAUCCCUUGACGGUAUCUAACCAGAAAGCCACGGCUAACUACGUGCCAGCAGCCGCGGUAAUACGUAGGUGGCAAGCGUUGUCCGGAUUUAUUGGGCGUAAAGCGAGCGCAGGCGGUUUCUUAAGUCUGAUGUGAAAGCCCCCGGCUCAACCGGGGAGGGUCAUUGGAAACUGGGAGACUUGAGUGCAGAAGAGGAGAGUGGAAUUCCAUGUGUAGCGGUGAAAUGCGUAGAUAUAUGGAGGAACACCAGUGGCGAAGGCGGCUCUCUGGUCUGUAACUGACGCUGAGGCUCGAAAGCGUGGGGAGCAAACAGGAUUAGAUACCCUGGUAGUCCACGCCGUAAACGAUGAGUGCUAAGUGUUGGAGGGUUUCCGCCCUUCAGUGCUGCAGCUAACGCAUUAAGCACUCCGCCUGGGGAGUACGACCGCAAGGUUGAAACUCAAAGGAAUUGACGGGGGCCCGCACAAGCGGUGGAGCAUGUGGUUUAAUUCGAAGCAACGCGAAGAACCUUACCAGGUCUUGACAUCCUUUGACCACUCUAGAGAUAGAGCUUCCCCUUCGGGGGCAAAGUGACAGGUGGUGCAUGGUUGUCGUCAGCUCGUGUCGUGAGAUGUUGGGUUAAGUCCCGCAACGAGCGCAACCCUUAUUGUUAGUUGCCAUCAUUCAGUUGGGCACUCUAGCAAGACUGCCGGUGACAAACCGGAGGAAGGUGGGGAUGACGUCAAAUCAUCAUGCCCCUUAUGACCUGGGCUACACACGUGCUACAAUGGGAAGUACAACGAGUCGCGAAGUCGCGAGGCUAAGCUAAUCUCUUAAAGCUUCUCUCAGUUCGGAUUGUAGGCUGCAACUCGCCUACAUGAAGCCGGAAUCGCUAGUAAUCGCGGAUCAGCACGCCGCGGUGAAUACGUUCCCGGGCCUUGUACACACCGCCCGUCACACCACGAGAGUUUGUAACACCCGAAGUCGGUGAGGUAACCUUU